GGAUUUGUAAACCUCAGAACGAGGUUCUGCCUGCCCGAGGCCGCGGUGUUGCGGAGACCCGAGGCGUAGCCAGCGACACCAUGUCUGACCAGGAGGCAAAACCUUCAACUGAGGACUUAGGGGAUAAGAAGGAAGGUGAAUACAUUAAACUCAAAGUCAUUGGGCAGGAUAGCAGUGAGAUACACUUCAAAGUGAAAAUGACAACACAUCUCAAGAAGCUCAAAGAAUCAUACUGUCAAGGACAGGGAGUUCCAAUGAAUUCACUCAGGUUUCUCUUUGAAGGUCAGAGAAUUGCUGAUAAUCAUACUCCAAAAGAACUGGGCAUGGAGGAAGAAGGUGUGAUUGAAGUUUAUCAGGAACAAACAGGGGGUCAUUCAACGGUUUAGAUACUCUUUUUAUUUCUUUUCUUUUCCCUCAAUCCUUUUUUAUUUUUAAAAAAUAGUUAUUU
RNA transcript from Nannospalax galili (Upper Galilee mountains blind mole rat), 448 nucleotides. It is a transcript of the gene named small ubiquitin-related modifier 1 pseudogene, with no coding region annotated. The record is from RefSeq and is a predicted model, not a curated record. Lineage: Eukaryota; Metazoa; Chordata; Mammalia; Rodentia; Spalacidae. The transcript has a single exon.